RNAcentral lists this long non-coding RNA (859 nucleotides) under Mus spicilegus (steppe mouse). RNAcentral describes it as "lncRNA (ENSMSIG00000024824.1)". The record is from RNAcentral. Lineage: Eukaryota; Metazoa; Chordata; Mammalia; Rodentia; Muridae.
AGAGGACUCUUGAGGUCCUUCAAAACAAAUGUCUGCCUUUGACCCGAGUCACCUGUCAAUCAAGGCUUCCAGACCUUCUGGAACACACUGAUUUGGAACAAGCUUCCUAUCCAUCGGGAUAAUGGAAUGACCAGACAAAACCUCCUUCAGAUGUGCUGACCCUCUCAGCAUCUCAAAUCCAAUGAAUGCAGCCAUCAAGGAAGCACAGUUCACAGGGGCUGGCAUGGAUGGGGAUACACGCUUACCUAAAGGUGCAGAUGUGGACCAAGUACCUCCUCAUGCCCCAGAAUGCAUCACGGCAUGUGUCAAUGUCCAGCUGUUGAGGAGGCACUAUCACCAAGUCUUUGCAUGUCUGAGGGGACAGAAGGUGACUGUGGGCCAUGCCUGUGCCAGUUAAGAAGACAGAGUGAGCCCACUGGCCUCUCUUCCUGUGUGUGCAUCAAAGUAGGGAAGUCCUUGCUAUUUGGACACCAUAACCAUUGUUGAUGUCCUUUGUCUAUACGCUCUGCCAAAGGUCAGCCUGGGGACGUUUUCUGCAUGUGAGUUGAAGAUUUUCAAUGUUUGAAAUACCCAAAUGAGGCAGAAUAUGGAGGAAACAUUAUCACCAUGUUCAGAAGCGAAAUUUCUGCAGCCAGUGUCUGUCUACACACACUUAUACCACAGAAAGCAGAUUUGGGAAGAGCAGGCUGUGUAUGAGAGGCAGAUCCUGCCCAUCCAGCGUGAUAAACACGAUGUGGGAUGGGAGACAGGGAAGGGAUCUGGCAAAACCAAGUGACCAGGGUGGUAAACAGGACACAGCUCUACCCAAAGCGUCCAUGACAGGGAGUCUUCUAGAAGGGCUACCAUGCUUCUGUGAAAG